GUGCCAGCAGCCGCGGUAAGACGUAGGGGGCGAGCGUUGUCCGGAUUCAUUGGGCGUAAAGCGCGCGUAGGCGGCCCGGUAAGUCGGAUGUGAAAUCUCACGGCUCAACCGUGGAACUGCAUUCGAAACUGUCGGGCUAGAGGCAGGUAGGGGAGAUCGGAAUUCCCGGUGUAGCGGUGAAAUGCGCAGAUAUCGGGAGGAACACCGGUGGCGAAGGCGGAUCUCUGGGCCUGUCCUGACGCUCAGGCGCGAAAGCUAGGGGAGCAAACAGGAUUAGAAACCCUUGUAGUCC
RNAcentral lists this ribosomal RNA (292 nucleotides) under uncultured bacterium. RNAcentral describes it as "partial 16S ribosomal RNA". It matches the Rfam family "Bacterial small subunit ribosomal RNA", at positions 505 to 796 of the family's 1533-position model. The record is from RNAcentral.